CGUCGAGCUACUACGGUAGUGAAGUCAUUGAUGCCAUGCUUCCAGGAAAAGCCUCUAAGCUUCAGAUUGUAAGGAAUCGUACCCCAAACCGACACAGGUGGUCGGGUAGAGAAUACCAAGGCGCUUGAGAGAACUCGGGUGAAGGAACUAGGCAAAAUGGUACCGUAACUUCGGGAGAAGGUACGCUCUUGAUGGUGAAGUCCCUUGCGGAUGGAGCUGACGAGAGUCGCAGAUACCAGGUGGCUGCAACUGUUUAUUAAAAACACAGCACUGUGCAAAAUCGUAAGAUGACGUAUACGGUGUGACGCCUGCCCGGUGCCGGAAGGUUAAUUGAUGGGGUUAGCGUAAGCGAAGCUCUUGAUCGAAGCCCCGGUAAACGGCGGCCGUAACUAUAACGGUCCUAAGGUAGCGAAAUUCCUUGUCGGGUAAGUUCCGACCUGCACGAAUGGCGUAAUGAUGGCCACGCUGUCUCCACCCGAGACUCAGUGAAAUUGAAAUCGCUGUGAAGAUGCAGUGUACCCGCGGCUAGACGGAAAGACCCCGUGAACCUUUACUACAGCUUGGCACUGAACAUUGAACCUACAUGUGUAGGAUAGGUGGGAGGCUUUGAAGACGUGACGCCAGUUGCGUUGGAGCCGUCCUUGAAAUACCACCCUUGUAUGUUUGAUGUUCUAACGUUGGCCCCUAAUCGGGGUUGCGGACAGUGCCUGGUGGGUAGUUUGACUGGGGCGGUCUCCUCCCAAAGAGUAACGGAGGAGCACGAAGGUGGGCUAAUCACGGUUGGACAUCGUGAGGUUAGUGCAAUGGCAUAAGCCCGCUUAACUGCGAGAAUGACGGUUCGAGCAGGUGCGAAAGCAGGUCAUAGUGAUCCGGUGGUUCUGAAUGGAAGGGCCAUCGCUCAACGGAUAAAAGGUACUCCGGGGAUAACAGGCUGAUACCGCCCAAGAGUUCAUAUCGACGGCGGUGUUUGGCACCUCGAUGUCGGCUCAUCACAUCCUGGGGCUGAAGUCGGUCCCAAGGGUAUGGCUGUUCGCCAUUUAAAGUGGUACGCGAGCUGGGUUUAGAACGUCGUGAGACAGUUCGGUCCCUAUCUGCCGUGGGCGUUGGAAGAUUGAAGGGGGCUGCUCCUAGUACGAGAGGACCGGAGUGGACGAACCUCUGGUGUUCGGGUUGUGUCGCCAGACGCAUUGCCCGGUAGCUAAGUUCGGAAUCGAUAACCGCUGAAAGCAUCUAAGCGGGAAGCGAGCCCUGAGAUGAGUCUUCCCUGAUACUUUAAGUAUCCUGAAGGGUUGUUCGAGACUAGAACGUUGAUAGGCAGGGUGUGUAAGCGCUGUGAGGCGUUGAGCUAACCUGUACUAAUUGCCCGUGAGGCUUAACCAU
This 1380-nucleotide ribosomal RNA is filed under the name Vibrio vulnificus. Its description in RNAcentral is "partial 23S ribosomal RNA". It matches the Rfam family "Bacterial large subunit ribosomal RNA", at positions 1567 to 2925 of the family's 2925-position model. Lineage: Bacteria; Pseudomonadati; Pseudomonadota; Gammaproteobacteria; Vibrionales; Vibrionaceae. The record is from RNAcentral.